GACGAACGCUGGCGGCGUGCUUAACACAUGCAAGUCGAACGGAAAGGCCCUGCUUUUGUGGGGUGCUCGAGUGGCGAACGGGUGAGUAACACGUGAGUAACCUGCCCUUGACUUUGGGAUAACUUCAGGAAACUGGGGCUAAUACCGGAUAGGAGCUCCUGCUGCAUGGUGGGGGUUGGAAAGUUUCGGCGGUUGGGGAUGGACUCGCGGCUUAUCAGCUUGUUGGUGGGGUAGUGGCUUACCAAGGCUUUGACGGGUAGCCGGCCUGAGAGGGUGACCGGCCACAUUGGGACUGAGAUACGGCCCAGACUCCUACGGGAGGCAGCAGUGGGGAAUAUUGCACAAUGGGCGGAAGCCUGAUGCAGCAACGCCGCGUGCGGGAUGACGGCCUUCGGGUUGUAAACCGCUUUCGCCUGUGACGAAGCGUGAGUGACGGUAAUGGGUAAAGAAGCACCGGCUAACUACGUGCCAGCAGCCGCGGUGAUACGUAGGGUGCGAGCGUUGUCCGGAUUUAUUGGGCGUAAAGGGCUCGUAGGUGGUUGAUCGCGUCGGAAGUGUAAUCUUGGGGCUUAACCCUGAGCGUGCUUUCGAUACGGGUUGACUUGAGGAAGGUAGGGGAGAAUGGAAUUCCUGGUGGAGCGGUGGAAUGCGCAGAUAUCAGGAGGAACACCAGUGGCGAAGGCGGUUCCCUGGGCCUUUCCUGACGCUGAGGAGCGAAGGCGUGGGGAGCGAACAGGCUUAGAUACCCUGGUAGUCCACGCUGUAAACGGUGGGUACUAGGUGUGGGGUCCAUUCCACGGGUUCCGUGCCGUAGCUAACGCUUUAAGUACCCCGCCUGGGGAGUACGGCCGCAAGGCUAAAACUCAAAGGAAUUGACGGGGCCCCGCACAAGCGGCGGAGCAUGCGGAUUAAUUCGAUGCAACGCGUAGAACCUUACCUGGGUUUGACAUGGAUCGGGAGUGCUCAGAGAUGGGUGUGCCUCUUUUGGGGUCGGUUCACAGGUGGUGCAUGGCUGUCGUCAGCUCGUGUCGUGAGAUGUUGUGUUAAGUCCCGCAACGAGCGCAACCCUUGUUCACUGUUGCCAGCACGUUAUGGUGGGGACUCAGUGGAGACCGCCGGGGUCAACUCGGAGGAAGGUGGGGAUGACGUCAAGUCAUCAUGCCCCUUAUGUCCAGGGCUUCACGCAUGCUACAAUGGCUGGUACAGAGAGUGGCGAGCCUGUGAGGGUGAGCGAAUCUCGGAAAGCCGGUCUCAGUUCGGAUUGGGGUCUGCAACUCGACCUCAUGAAGUCGGAGUCGCUAGUAAUCGCAGAUCAGCAACGCUGCGGUGAAUACGUUCCCGGG
Molecule: ribosomal RNA, 1343 nt
Filed under: uncultured bacterium
Lineage: Bacteria
Description: 16S ribosomal RNA
Rfam family: Bacterial small subunit ribosomal RNA
Source: RNAcentral